UACGUAGGGGGCAAGCGUUGUCCGGAUUUAUUGGGCGUAAAGAGCGUGUAGGCGGUCAGGUAGGUCCGUUGUGAAAACUCGAGGCUCAACCUCGAGACGCCGAUGGAAACCAUCUGACUAGAGUCCGGAAGAGGAGAGUGGAAUUCCUGGUGUAGCGGUGAAAUGCGCAGAUAUCGGGAAGAACACCCGUGGCGAAGGCGGCUCACUGGCCCGGUACUGACGCUGAUGUGCGAAAGCGUGGGGAGCAAACAGG
Molecule: ribosomal RNA, 253 nt
Filed under: uncultured bacterium
Lineage: Bacteria
Description: partial 16S ribosomal RNA
Rfam family: Bacterial small subunit ribosomal RNA
Source: RNAcentral